CAGUAGCCGCGGUAAUACAGAGGGUGCGAGCGUUAAUCGGAUUUACUGGGCGUAAAGCGUGCGUAGGCGGCUUUUUAAGUCGGAUGUGAAAUCCCUGAGCUUAACUUAGGAAUUGCAUUUGAUACUGGGAAGCUAGAGUAUGGGAGAGGAUGGUAGAAUUCCAGGUGUAGCGGUGAAAUGCGUAGAGAUCUGGAGGAAUACCGAUGGCGAAGGCAGCCAUCUGGCCUAAUACUGACGCUGAGGUACGAAAGCAUGGGGAGCAAACAGGAUUAGAUACCCCGGUAGUCCCUGUCUCUUAUAA
RNAcentral lists this ribosomal RNA (301 nucleotides) under uncultured bacterium. RNAcentral's name for it is "partial 16S ribosomal RNA". It matches the Rfam family "Bacterial small subunit ribosomal RNA", at positions 509 to 809 of the family's 1533-position model. The record is from RNAcentral.